RNAcentral lists this ribosomal RNA (497 nucleotides) under uncultured bacterium. RNAcentral's name for it is "partial 16S ribosomal RNA". It matches the Rfam family "Bacterial small subunit ribosomal RNA", at positions 28 to 507 of the family's 1533-position model. The record is from RNAcentral.
GAUGAACGCUGGCGGCGUGCCUAAUACAUGCAAGUCGAGCGAACAGACGAGGAGCUUGCUCCUCUGACGUUAGCGGCGGACGGGUGAGUAACACGUGGAUAACCUACCUAUAAGACUGGGAUAACUUCGGGAAACCGGAGCUAAUACCGGAUAAUAUAUUGAACCGCAUGGUUCAAUAGUGAAAGACGGUUUUGCUGUCACUUAUAGAUGGAUCCGCGCCGCAUUAGCUAGUUGGUAAGGUAACGGCUUACCAAGGCGACGAUGCGUAGCCGACCUGGGAGGCUGCUCGGCCACACUGGAACUGAGACACGGUCCAGACUCCUACGGGAGGCCGCAGUAGGGAACCUUCCGCAAUGGGCGACAGCCUGGCGGAGCAACGGCGCGUGAGUGAUGAAGGUCUUCGGAUCGUAAAACUCUGUUAUUAGUGAAGACCAAAUGUGUAAGUAACUAUGCACGUCUUGACGGUACCUAAUCAGAAAGCCACGGCUAACUACGUG